Molecule: ribosomal RNA, 253 nt
Filed under: uncultured bacterium
Lineage: Bacteria
Description: partial 16S ribosomal RNA
Rfam family: Bacterial small subunit ribosomal RNA
Source: RNAcentral
GACGUAGGGCGCGAGCGUUGUCCGGAUUUAUUGGGCGUAAAGAGCUCGUAGGCGGCUUGUCGCGUCGACUGUGAAAACCCGCGGCUCAACCUUGGGCUUGCAGUGGGUACGGGCAGACUAGAGUGCGGUAGGGGAGACUGGAAUUCCUGGUGUAGCGGUGAAAUGCGCAGAUAUCAGGAGGAACACCGAUGGCGAAGGCAGGUCUCUGGGCCGUAACUGACGCUGAGGAGCGAAAGCAUGGGGAGCGAACAGG